GACGAACGCUGGCGGCGUGCCUAAUACAUGCAAGUAGAACGCACAGUUUAUACCGUAGCUUGCUGCACCAUAGACUGUGAGUUGCGAACGGGUGAGUAACGCGUAGGUAACCUGCCUGGUAGCGGGGGAUAACUAUUGGAAACGAUAGCUAAUACCGCAUAAUAUUGAUUAUUGCAUGAUAGUUGAUUGAAAGAUGCUAUUGCAUCACUACCAGAUGGACCUGCGUUGUAUUAGCUAGUAGGUGAGGUAACGGCUCACCUAGGCGACGAUACAUAGCCGACCUGAGAGGGUGAUCGGCCACACUGGGACUGAGACACGGCCCAGACUCCUACGGGAGGCAGCAGUAGGGAAUCUUCGGCAAUGGACGAAAGUCUGACCGAGCAACGCCGCGUGAGUGAAGAAGGUUUUCGGAUCGUAAAGCUCUGUUGUAAGAGAAGAACGGGUGUGAGAGUGGAAAGUUCACACUGUGACGGUAUCUUACCAGAAAGGGACGGCUAACUACGUG
RNAcentral lists this ribosomal RNA (505 nucleotides) under uncultured bacterium. RNAcentral's name for it is "partial 16S ribosomal RNA". It matches the Rfam family "Bacterial small subunit ribosomal RNA", at positions 28 to 507 of the family's 1533-position model. The record is from RNAcentral.